GACAGAGGUCCCGAGCGUUAGGCGGAAUCACUGGGUUUAAAGGGUCCGUAGGCGGAUCUGUAAGUCAGUGGUGAAAUCUCAUAGCUUAACUAUGAAACUGCCAUUGAUACUGCAGGUCUUGAGUAAGGUAGAAGUAGCUGGAAUAAGUAGUGUAGCGGUGAAAUGCAUAGAUAUUACUUAGAACACCAAUUGCGAAGGCAGGUUACUAUGUCUUAACUGACGCUGAUGGACGAAAGCGUGGGGAGCGAACAGG
RNAcentral lists this ribosomal RNA (253 nucleotides) under uncultured bacterium. RNAcentral describes it as "partial 16S ribosomal RNA". It matches the Rfam family "Bacterial small subunit ribosomal RNA", at positions 524 to 776 of the family's 1533-position model. The record is from RNAcentral.